GUCCCUUAGGGGACAUUCGAUAAAAUUGAAAGAUACAGAGAAGACUAGCUAUGACUUUUGCGCAACGAUAAUACUCGCGGAUUGAAAAAUGAUCCAAUUACUU
Molecule: small nuclear RNA, 103 nt
Organism: Solanum pennellii
Lineage: Eukaryota; Viridiplantae; Streptophyta; Magnoliopsida; Solanales; Solanaceae
Source: RefSeq, a predicted model, not a curated record